Molecule: ribosomal RNA, 403 nt
Filed under: uncultured bacterium
Lineage: Bacteria
Description: partial 16S ribosomal RNA
Rfam family: Bacterial small subunit ribosomal RNA
Source: RNAcentral
AUUGAACGCUGGCGGCAGGCCUAACACAUGCAAGUCGAGCGAGCGGCGGACGGGUGAGUAAUGUAUGGGGACUGCCCGAUAGAGGGGGAUAACUACUGGAAACGGUGGCUAAUAACGCAUCCUAGCGGGUCACCCAUAUGAGAUUGGCUAGUAGGUGGGGUAAAGGCUCACAUAGGCGAAGAUCUCUAGCUGGUCUGAGAGGAUGAGCAGCCAAAUCGGGACUGCGAUACGGCCCAGAAUCCAAGGGAGGCAGCAGCGGGGAAUAUUGCACACUGGGCGCAAGCCUGAGGCGGCCAUGACGCGUGUAUGAAGGAGGCCUUAGGGUUGUAAAGUACUUUCAGCGGAGAUGCGUUACCCGCAGAAGAAGCACCGGCUAACUCCGUGCCAGCAGCCGCGGUAAUAC